AUUGAACGCUGGCGGCAUGCCUUACACAUGCAAGUCGAACGGCAGCACGGGAGCAAUCCUGGUGGCGAGUGGCGAACGGGUGAGUAAUGUAUCGGAACGUACCUUUCAGUGGGGGAUAACGUAGCGAAAGUUACGCUAAUACCGCAUAUUCUGUGAGCAGGAAAGCAGGGGAUCGCAAGACCUUGCGCUGAUUGAGCGGCCGAUAUCAGAUUAGCUAGUUGGUGAGGUAAAGGCUCACCAAGGCGACGAUCUGUAGCGGGUCUGAGAGGAUGAUCCACCACACUGGAACUGAGACACGGUCCAGACUCCUACGGGAGGCAGCAGUGGGGAAUUUUGGACAAUGGGCGCAAGCCUGAUCCAGCCAUGCCGCGUGAGUGAAGAAGGCC
This 386-nucleotide ribosomal RNA is filed under the name uncultured bacterium. RNAcentral's name for it is "bacterial SSU rRNA". It matches the Rfam family "Bacterial small subunit ribosomal RNA", at positions 30 to 416 of the family's 1533-position model. The record is from RNAcentral.